GAGCAAAAUGAAGGGGCUUAAGAUUCCGAAGAAGGGUGAGAUGAGUUCCCUGUCUAGAAACAUGAAUGCACAGCACAUGAGCAAAGUCCUCCCUCCACAGAUGCUGAAGCAGAUUGGUGGCAUGGGUGGUUUGCAAAACUUAAUGAAGCAAAUGGGAUCAGCUAAAGACAUGAUGGGCAUGUUUGGAGGCGGGGACAAGUAAACGUGUGAUUGCCAACAACUACAUGAAAUGAAUUCCCAUGACAAUAACCUAGGUCUGUCAGGAGGAUGGUAAGCUGCGUGGAGUGUUUAAUAUAUGCAAGUCGAUGCUUCAACAAAACUUUGUGGAUACUUGUUCUUAAAGGAUCAAUGCAUUUGAUUCAAUUCUCAGAUCCCCCCUCCCCUGCUGGUACAGACUACAGAGGCCGUCUUGUAGCAAUAACUGGAUUUAUCUUUUUUCUUUGGGCACCAAAAAAUGUGGAAAAAAAGGGUUUGAGGUCAUGAAGCUGUGAAAAAAAAGUUGGUUUUACGUCAUUAAGUACAAAAAUUACGUAAUUCACCGUUAUAGCAGAAAUGUUGCUGAGAAUAUUGCAUUUGACACUUAAAAUUUGCCUGCGAUCUAUGCACGACUUCUUCGCACAUUAUAUGUUGGUUUAAUCACUAAUGGGUGACUAGGGCAUCUUUCCUGUCCUGUGAACAUGGUCGAAUGCAAUCUGCCAAGACUGAGAAGCAGUGACUAAAAGUAAUGGACGCCAUGUACCUCCGGAUUGCUCGAGACCUUAUAUGUAUCGCGCAAGCGGCUGCCCAAAAGAAUUGUUACAAUGGCGGCUCUGUUAUAUUCACGGUCAAUUCUCAAGCAGGUUAUCGACACUUUGCAGUAAAAAAGCUCCUGUACGGAAAAGUAUAAUCUAUUAAUGUUUCUUGGGUCGGCAAUGACCUAUGAGCAAGCCCUCCGAGUCGGUGUCCCCUAGUUAGGUGUAGUUUGAUUGUUCUUGGAAAGUGGUCUGGCUUUCUUAACGAAUGGCUUCAAUCAGUCGAAUGUACCUACAACUAUACUCGUCGAAAUCAAAGAACUUUGGGCCCAAAAAUUUGAACUUGUUUCGACUAGUUUCAUAAUGAUUUCUGAAAAUUUAAUGGACAGUGAAAAAGCCCUCAUGCUAGAAGAUCUGUUAUCAUCUUCAUGCACAAGUCUUAUGCGGUUAUGCCCUUGUUUGACUUAAAAGUGAGUGUUCUGACGAUGCCGGCGUAGUCAUGAGGAUGAUCGAAGGACAGGAGGCAACAACAGGGCAUAUUUUAGCUUGUUAUAAAUGAUCAAAUAGGGAAAACAUGAAAGCAGAAAAGGUAGAAUAAUCCAUGUAUCUUCAAAUAUUUUCUACGCUCCAGAUUCCUUAUUUCUCAAUGCAUCCCGAAACACAUAUCAGCAGGCAAAUUGCCCUGUGAUCUAUUUCUGACAAAAGGCAAACUUCGUAAUUAAAUACACAAAUAUAGUAAAUGGAGUACAAAAUGUGAUAUAGGGGUGUUCCUAAUGAUAUAUUCCUGACAAAAUGUAAACUUGGUAAAUACACAAAUACAGUAUCAAACUUACUAAAUUCACUACACAAAUUCAGUAUAUGAUGCAAGGGGAUGUCUCUAUUCUUCUUAGGGAGAUUACAGACAAGCAAAAUUCCCUAAAUUUAGAGAAAAGGUGAAUCAUAAAGACACAGGAUGAGAAAAACCAGAGAACUCAUAGGGAAGACGGUAUAGUAACCUAGGUUUUAACAUCAUCACCGAUGAAUUCUCCUCUUGCAUCCCAAGGACGAUUUUCAAAAGACUUUCCAAGGAUGCUGCGCUUCUCAUUUACAGACCCAUCUUCGCAGCGAUAUUCUGGAAAGUAAUCCAAAAACCCUUUACUUCCUAGUUCAUCAAGUCCAUUGAAGAGGAAGUCUCUAACCAAGUCCUAUAGAGCAGAUGUGAAUUAAGAACUGCGUCAGCAAUUAGUUGCAAAUAAUGGAUAACAGAUCCAGUAAGUUGAGAGUGAUACCUGUGCAUGCCUUUCUCCAAUCAACCUUUUAAGAAUUCCAUGGCCGGGAUCCUGCUUCCAGAAUUUACAUUAGCCAAAUAUGCUGGGCCAGAAAUGAGAGAAGUUUGAAAAGGUGCCAAAUAUUUAUCUGCUCAAACAUUGUAAUUAUGCAAUUGCACUGCAUAAAUGAUACUGUAAUUAAAGAAUUUCACUAUAGAUAUCUACCUGAAGGCACCAAUAUGCCUUGUCAGGUGAGAGUCCAAGACAAAGUAUGAGUUUGGAUAGGACCCUAAUGAUAGCAAUUCUAGCUACCAAGUUGAUUCUUUUCAGCCCUUUUAUUUUCAAAAACUGGGUAACCAGAAGUUUAUCCUGCCUGAAAUCUAAAAUCCCUCUUCAAGAUGCUAGUUGUUCGAACAACGUUUUGCAGUUGAGAGCAUCUAUUCAUUUUAUUCCAAAUGAAUCGCGAGGCUAAUUAAAAUAACAUAGAAAACAAGUAUUUUUCUUUCUUUCACCUCAAGGAACCAAAUUUCCUUUGUUUUACCUCAUCAUAAUCUGGAUGUUCAAAAUAUUAGGGGUCAAGGGUAUGAUGGUGCUAGUAAUAUGCGUGGAGAGUGAAAUGGUUUUCAAGCUUUAUUCAUUAAUGAUUGCCCUUAUGCAUAUUAUGUACAUUGCUUAGCUCAUCAAUUAUAAUUGGCUCUUAUUGCUGCAGCUAGAGAAAUAUCUGAUGUUCACACUUUCUUUCAGAAUUUGAUUUUUAUUAUUAACAUUGUUAGUGCUUCUUGUAAGCGUAAUGAUGAAUUACGGGCUUUUCAAGCAGCUACAAUUGAAUAUUUAGUUGAUAUUUGUGAGAUUGAAACGGGUAAAAGAGUUAAUCAAGUAGGUGGUUUGCAACGACCUGAAGAUAGCAGAUGGAGUUUGCACUUCAAAUCAAUUUGCAGUUUGAUAAAAAUGUAUGGGGCAACUUGCUUGGUUUUUGAAAACAUUGCUUUAAAUGGAUCUACUUAUUCUCAACGUGGUGAUGCGGCCUUUUCAUUUAAGUUGCUAAUGUCAUUUGAUUUUGCAUUCAUCUUGCAUAUAAUGAAGGAUGUUAUGGGAAUUACUGAUAUGCUUUGCCAAGCUCUGCAACAAAAAUCUCAAGACAUUUUAAAUGCUAUGCAUUUAGUGACUACCACAAAGACUUUAAUUCAGAAGUUAAGAGAUGAUGGUUGGAAAACUCUUUUAGAAGAAGUGACAUCAUUUUGUAAGCAUCAAGACAUUGAAGUUCCUGAUAUGGAUGCUUGUUUUUCUAGUGUGGGACGAUCUCGCCGUAAACAAAAAUUAGUAACAGUUGAACAUCACUACCGAGUUGAUAUAUUUACAGCUAUCAUUGAUCAACAAUUGCAAGAGCUAAAUAAUAGAUUCAAUGAGCAGGCAAUCGAGCUUCUUAAGUUGAGCACAACUUUAGAUCCUAGAAAUAGCUAUAAAUUAUUCAAUGUUGAAGAUAUAUGCUUACUUGUUGACAAGUUUUAUCCUCAUGAUUUUUCUGACCAAGAAAAAAUUCAUUUGAGACUUCAGUUGCAGCAUUAUGAGCUUGAUGUACCCAAUCAUCCAAAGUUAAAGAGCAUGUCAUCGAUUGCUGAUUUAUGUAAAGGACUGGUUAAAACAGGAAAAUCAACAAUUUAUCCACUAGUUGACAGGUUGAUUCGGCUUAUUUUGACUCUUCCUGUUUCGACAGCAACUACUGAACGAGCUUUCUCAGCGAUAAAGAUUGUUAAAACAAGACUUCGUAGUCGGAUGGAGGAUGAUUUUCUUGCAAAUUAUUUGAUUGUCUAUAUAGAAAAAGAAAUUGCUGAAAGAUUCACAAUUGAUAUGAUAAUCGAUGAUUUCUAUUAUAUGAAAGAACGACGAGCACAAUUAAAAUAAAUAUGUAAGAAUCAUUCUUUAUUAUUUUUUACUUUAUUUCAAAGUUUAUCAAACAUAAAUAAUGCUUCGCUUUAGCUAAUGUUUCUUUUGUACUUUGUAUGUUUAUAUUUGAUAGGUAUAAAGACCAACAACAUUAAAGUGAUGGAUACAUCAUGAAUAUGGAAUUAACUUCAUUGCUUUGACUGAAUUCGGUAUUGCUCCAAAUCUUUUACCUUAUACAAAGGUCAUUAUAUGUUUGUAAUAAGUUAUUUGAAUAAAACUAAAUAAUGCCGGUUUUUUUUUACAACUCAUGUAUAAUAAAUUAAAACAAAUAUUAUAUAUUGUUAUAUUAUUUUUAGCCACCUCUAACAAAUAAUCCUAGCUCUGCCCCUGCCUCCAUCCUUUCUAUUCAAGUGUUUAUGUUUUCAAAUGUUUAUAGUAGUGCUUUUAAUUUUAAAAGCUAACAAAUAUCCAAUUUGUAAUCCUAUGGAGGUCGUAUUUGACCAAGUUUGGUAAAAUUAGUAACAUGAAAUGAAAAUAAUAUUAAAAAAUGCAUGAAAAGAAGAUGAAAAAAAAAAAAAGGUUUCGAAAUAGAUUGCUAUGAAUUCUUGUAUGGAUUUUUUUGACAAAUGAGAUCAAAGAUUUUAUUGAGAAAUCGGUACACAUCUAUAAAACUAUACCAAAAAAAUCCAGCUUUUUUGUAUUUAAAAUUAUCAAUUUUGUAAAAAUAAUUAUUUUCUCACCUUUUAAAAUUAGAGGUGCAGAUUUGUCUGGCUUGCGAUAAAGUGGACAAAACUGAGCUUAUAUGAGUUUUUGUACCUUUUUUUUAUUAUUUGGGCAAAUUACAUUAUCACUCCAUGGUUCGAGCACGGUAACACUUUUCAUCAGUGAAAAUUAGAUGUGAGUGAAAAUAUUAAAAAAUUGAUUAAAUUGAGAAAAUUAAAAAAAAAAUUAAGUAAAAAAACUGAAUUAUGAAAAAAAAUCGAUUAAAAUUUUAAAAAAAUCAACCGGUUAGAUUUGGUUUCGAUUUUAUAAGCUUGAAACCGAAAGAACCGAAUCGAACCCAAACCGAAAAAAUGAGCCAAAACCGAGCCAAAUCGGAAAAAAACCGAGCCAAUCCAAAAAACCAACCCGAAACCGGUCGGUUUGAACCGGUUUUUGUCCAAAAAACCAAACCGAAACCGGUCGGUUUGAACCGGUUUUGGUUCGGUUUAGGUUUUUUUUAAAAAAAUUUAAUUUGAUGACUUUUUUUUUAUAUAAAAACUGAACCGAAUAAAAAAUGAUCAUCCCUAAUAAAAAUACCUGUAAAAAAUUACUUAAUAAUUGAAAUUUCUAAGAAUCUGGAUUUAUUUUUUUUUGAAAAAAAUUAGAUUAUAUUAUUUAUAAUGAAAAAUCUAUUCAUAUUAACAUGGGCAUAACAACUUGAGAGAAAUAUAUUAGGGAAAUGGGUCUCACACAAGAAUAUCAUAGAAACAAUAAAAAAUGUAGAGAACUAGAGGAGAUUCUUAUGAUUAGAUAAAUAAUAGAUUAAAUCAUUUACCCACAAAAUAUAUUUCCUUCUUUUAUUACAAAAUACAAGAAAACCCACCGAAGAGAGGCACUCAAAUGCUCGUAUACUGAUAAUACAAACUUUUUGAUAGAAAAUUUCUAGCAUGGAUACAAACACUGAUUUUUGAGCAAAUCCCCGAGGAGUCUUGACGCGAUCGCACUCUCACCGUCCGAUGCAUUAGACACUUCGUCGAUCUUUCUAAAGGAAAGUCAGAUGAGGAUAAUUUAUUUGGGAUUGUAAUAUGGUUUAAUAUAUUUUUAAUUUAUAAAUAUAUUAAAAUAAUAUUUUUUUUAUUUUUUAAAAAUUACUUUUUAAGAUUAAUACGUCAAAAUAAUAUAAAAAUAUAUAUAAAAAAUAAUUUUUAACAAUUUUUUUUUUAAAUUAAAAAAAACACAAUUUACUCCAAGUUAUUAAACUUAACUUUAUAUUCCUAUAAAAACUGAGUCUAUGCAUUACUCCUUACAAGACCUUGUCAGCUACAAAAUAUCCAGCUAAUUAUUUUUUAAUAUAUAUUUUUACUUAAUAAUAUAUAAUUUUUAUUUUUUAAAAUUUAUUUUUAAAAUCAAUAUAAUACAAAAUUAUAAAAAUAAUUUUUAAAUAAAAAAACCAACACACUCUAAAUAAAUUAAUCCAAAUAAAUUUAAAAUAAAAUUAAUUUUUUUAGAAUUUUAAGUAGGUUAUGAAUUAUUGUAUUGCUCGAACUAGAUCUAGGAUAUUUGAAAGUGUGAUAUUAAUUGUUUUUUAAAGUAUUUUUUACUUAUAAAUGUAUCAAAAUAAUAUAUAUUUUUUAUUUUUUAAAAUUUAUUUUUAAUAUUAAGAAAUUAAAAUAAUUUAAAAAAAUAUAUUUAAAUUUUCAUGAAAAGUAAGUUGAAGUGUUCACGGGGAUACGUAUUUUUCAUCUUGUUUUUUCUUCAAAUCAAUUCAUUAAUAUAUUACUGUACAAACUCGUCUUUUCAUUAAGACAGAAAAAAAAACCCAAACAAAUUCACUCUUUCCAUCCAUCCCUCUUGCUUCCUCUGAAAUUCACCAAAGACAAACCCUAAUCUCCAAAAUCAUCCCAUCCGUCUCCUCCAAUAAAAAAAAUUGAACCUGUGGAACUGAAAAAAGAAAGCAAAAAUGGUGUUGGCGCAGUUAGGAGGGAGCAUAUCCCGAGCAAUCCAGCAAAUGAGCAAUGCAACAAUCAUCGACGAGAAAGCAUUAAACGACUGCUUGAACGAGAUCACUCGCGCGCUUCUUCAAUCCGAUGUCCAAUUCAAGCUUGUUCGCGACAUGCAAACUAAUAUCAAGAAAAUCGUCAAUCUCGACGAUCUCGCUGCCGGUCACAACAAGCGCAGAAUCAUCCAACAAGUAAUUAUCUUUUAUUUUAUUAUUUUUCAAAAAAUAAACACAAUUUUAUUUAACUUUAAAUUUAACGAGUUCAAUAUUUUUAGGCGAUAUUUAACGAGCUCUGCAAGAUUUUGGACCCAGGGAAGUCCUCAUUUACCCCAAAGAAGGGGAAAACUAGUGUUGUUAUGUUUGUAGGUUUACAAGGUAAUUUAUUUUAGAUAAUAAUAAAACUUUCAUUUCAAUUUCUGUGCUCUUGGAUUUAUGAUAUUUAUUUAGAGAAAACAUGUAAUGGAAUUUAAUUGUUUAGGGUCUGGAAAAACGACGACGUGUACAAAAUACGCUUAUUAUCAUCAGAAAAAAGGAUGGAAACCCGCCCUCGUUUGCGCUGAUACGUUUAGAGCUGGUGCAUUUGAUCAGUUAAAGCAGAAUGCAACUAAAGCUAAAAUUCCAUUUUAUGGAAGGUAAGUGAUUUUUAAGUGGAGGAGAAUAAAAAAAUGGGUUUUCUGUAAUGCGAUCAAUUAUUGACUUCUUGUUGUUGAUACAGCUAUACGGAAUCGGAUCCUGUAAAAAUAGCUGAGGAAGGUGUAGAAACAUUUAAGAAGGAAAAUUGUGAUCUUAUAAUUGUUGAUACAAGUGGACGUCAUAAACAGGAAGCUGCACUUUUUGAAGAAAUGCGUCAAGUUUCAGAAGCAACUGUCUGUUAUUCUCUUAUUAGUUGUUUUGCAUGUUAUUGAUUGUUAUUGCACUGAAAUUUGAUCCCGUUUCAUUCCGUGUCUUCCAGAAACCGGAUCUUAUUAUAUUUGUUAUGGAUAGCAGUAUUGGUCAAGCUGCAUUUGAUCAAGCUCAAGCUUUUAAGCAAAUGGUUGCAGUUGGAGCUGUGAUUAUUACUAAAAUGGAUGGUCAUGCAAAGGGUGGUGGUGCGCUUAGUGCGUGAGUAAUCUGGCAGUUGUUCUAGUGUACCAAAACUUCCUCUUGCUUAAGGCAUUUAUAUUGAUUUCUGGUUUACAAACCAUGUGCAGAGUUGCAGCAACUAAGAGUCCUGUCAUUUUUAUUGGUACUGGAGAGCAUAUGGAUGAGUUCGAAGUCUUUGAUGUUAAACCUUUUGUUAGUCGCCUUUUAGGUAUCCACUUCUUUCAGUUUGACACCUUUGCUUUGAUGUUCUACUUUCCUCUGAAAUUUGUAUGAUUGUUUUUGAUGCCCGUAGUGUUCACAUUAUUAUGAUCUUCCAAUUAGGCAUGGGUGACUGGUCUGGAUUCAUGGACAAAAUUCAUGAGGUUGUUCCCAUGGAUCAACAGCCCGAGCUUCUACAAAAGCUGUCAGAAGGGAACUUUACCUUAAGGAUUAUGUAUGAGCAAUUCCAGAAUCUACUAAAAAUGGGUCCCAUUGGUCAGGUUCUCUACUCACUAUUUUGUUUAUUGAAUCUCUGUUAGAGAGUGUUCUACUUCAAGUAUUCAUCUCAAAUGUGUGUGUAUGGUAGGGAAAAAAACAAUAAUUUUGAUCAGAACUUCCUUGUGACUGAUAAUAAGUGUGCUAGUUUAUAGACAGUUGCAUACCUAUUGGCACUGCAUGUGUUUAGAGAAAAUCAACAUCUUUGAAGAGAGUUUCCGUGAUCUUUCGUUAAUUCCUAAACAUGGAUUUUCUAUCUUCUUCUUCUUCUUAGCUUUUUCUUGUUUCAGCAUGCAGAUAGUUGCUAAUUAUCAUGCAAAGCUUUAGUAAAACAUGAGUUUUUUUCUUUCCUCUUGAUGAGGAAUUGAUGGCAUUGGCAGUUGAUACAGAAUGGAAGUACAAGGCAUUUAAUUUGUUUAUUUAGUGAUAGGCUUAGGUGGAAAAACUGUUUAACCUCCCUAAUUUCAUCUGCUUACCAUUCAAAUGAGGAAGAGAGAUGAUAAGUUUCCUGGGAAUAUGGAUCAUUUUUCCUAUGUCAAAUUAAACCUUGAAGUGGCUUCUGAGUGAAUCUGCAAAUACCUUCUGAGUUUUUAUAUGUAUUAAUUUAAGGAAUUUGUAAGUUGGAUACUCGUGAUUGCUUAUCAGAGCUUGUUAGGAUUUUACCUCACACAACAAUUUCAACCGGAAUAAUUAUGGAUGCUUAAUUCAUUUAAUUUUGAAGGAACUGGUGCCGUUAGAGAAACUCAUAGUCAAUAGUAUUGGCUGUUAAUUGGCUCUUAAAUUUCAAAUGAAAAGCGAGAAGUGACAUGAAUAUUUCCUUGCCUAGGAUGGUCCUAAGGGUUACCUGGUCAACUAAUUCAUUGCACCGGAAAAUUCAAAUUUUGUGGAUCACUAAUUACUUAUAAGAAUAAAUGAAAUAAAAUAAAAGGUUAACCUGUGAGCUUGUAGCUUAGUGGUAUUCCUGCACAAGCAGGUAGGGUGAGGUCUCAAGUUUGAGUCCCACCUUUGUAAAUUUAACUUAAAUAAAAAUUGGAAGACACUUUUAAUAAAAGGUUCAUGCAACUGUAAAAUAUGGAUUGUGAUCAGAUACUUUUAUCAUUUUUGACAUUUUUGCGUUACACUCUCCUGCAUUUAGAAUAUGAGAAUUGGAGUAGACUGAAAAGAGAUCUAUCAGAAGUCAAUAAGAUGAACCCACCAUUAAGAAGCGAGCUUUUCCCUUCGUUUGUCUCUGGUCAUCAUGAUGCACAUCAACACCCUCGUAUUUCAUAACAGAUGGUUCUCAAGAUGAUACGAGUUGUACCAGUAUCUAACACAUAUUUUAACAUCAUAGCGAUUCUUAUGGUCAUUUCAAAUAUUUUGCCUAGCUUAGAUACAGGUCCAAUUAAUUUGUUGUCAGCAUAUUUUAACAUCUUGUUUAACAAGAAUACCUUUCGUCAAGAAUACCUCGGAAAGUGAACAAGAUGAAAAAUGACAGAAAUUAUGAGGGAGGACAAUAAUGCCUAUGAGAGAGAAAGGAGAAGAUGAGUGAGGAAGUAUGGCAGACAAGGAGAAGAUAACUGAGAAAGUAUGGUAGACUAAGAUAGCUUACAAUCUGUCACCGAUUAACAUUUUAUAGUUUUUUUGUGAAUUUUCUAUUUGCUGAAAUGUUAUGAAUUUGGUAAAGGAAGUAGUAAACUAUGGCCUCGACUUAGGUAAUGAAAUCUCAAGAGUAUUGAUUUUACUGUUUCCAUCUUGACUGAAUUUUUUAUUUAUUUAUGGUCCCAUCACCUUUCUCCCCCUUCCCUAUUUUGGGUUGUGACUUUCACUUUAAUACUAUUCGGGUCACCUUCUGUAGGUAUUUUCAAUGCUUCCUGGGUUUAGUGCUGAAUUAAUGCCAAAAGGUCAUGAAAAGGAAAGCCAGGCUAAGAUUAAGCGAUACAUGACCAUGAUGGAUUCAAUGACUAAUGAAGGUGAGUGAGUGCUGCUUGACAAAUUGACAUUUAGAGCAUUGCAUUGCCUCAUGGAUAUACAAAACAUACUUUCUUGAAUGAAGUUAUUUGGUACUUUUGCUGAUAUCUAUUUGUCACGGAUGUGAUGCAGAGUUGGAUAGUUCAAAUCCAAAGCUCUUGAAUGACUCACGAAUGAUGAGGAUAGCACGGGGUGCUGGCCGUCCAAUUAGAGAUGUAAUGGAAAUAUUGGAAGAGUACAAGCGACUUGCUAAAGUCUGGAGCAAAAUGAAGGGGCUUAAGAUUCCGAAGAAGGGCGAGAUGAGUUCCCUGUCUAGAAACAUGAAUGCACAGCACAUGAGCAAAGUCCUCCCUCCACAGAUGCUGAAGCAGAUUGUUGGCAUGGGUGGCUUGCAAAACUUAAUGAAGCAAAUGGGAUCAGCAAAAGACAUGAUGGGCAUGUUUGGAGGCGGGGACAAGUAAACGUGUGAUUGCCAACAACUACAUGAAAUGAAUUCCCAUGACAAUAACCUAGGUCUGUCAGGAGGAUGGUAAGCUGCGUGGAGUGUUUAAUAUAUGCAAGUCGAUGCUUCAACAAAACUUUGUGGAUACUUGUUCUUAAAGGAUCAAUGCAUUUGAUUCAAUUCUCAGAUCCCCCCCCCCCCCCCCCCUGCUGGUACAGACUACAGAGGCCGUCUUGUAGCAAUAACUGGAUUUAUCCUUUUUCUUUGGGCACCAAAAAAUGUGAAAAAAAAGGGUUUUAGGUCACGAAGCUGUGAAAAAAAAGUUGGUUUUACGUCAUUAAGUACAAAAAUUACGUAAUUCACCGUUAUAGCAGAAAUGUUGCUGAGAAUAUUGCAUUUGACACUUAAAAUUUGCCUGGGAUCUAUGCACGACUUCUUCGCCAUUAUAUGUUGGUUUAAUCACUAAUGGGGGACUUGGGCUUCUUUCCUGGCCUGUGAACAUGGUCGAAUGCAAUCUGCCAAGACUGAGAAGCAGUGGCUAAAAGUUACGGACGCCAUCUACCUCCGGAUUGCUCGAGACCUUAUAUGUAUCGAGCAAGCGACUGCCCAAAAGAAUUGUUACAAUGGCGGCUCUGUUUUAUUCACGGUCAAUUCUCAAGCAUGUUAUCGACACUUUGCAGUAAAAAAGCUCCUGUACGGAAAAGUAUAAUCUAUUAAUGUUUCUCGGGUCGGCAAUGACCUCUGAGCAAGUCCUCCGAGUCAGUGUCCCCUAGUUAGGUGUAGUUUGACUGUUCUUGGAAAGUGGUCUGGCUUUCUUUACGAAUGGCUUCAAUCAGUCGAAUGUUCCUAAAACUAUACUCGUCGAAAUCAAAGAACUUUGGGCCCAAAAAUUUGAACUUGUUUC
Molecule: long non-coding RNA, 11413 nt
Filed under: Populus trichocarpa (black cottonwood)
Lineage: Eukaryota; Viridiplantae; Streptophyta; Magnoliopsida; Malpighiales; Salicaceae
Description: long non-coding RNA (PTRI_LNC000261)
Source: RNAcentral